UCACACUCUGAUAGGUGAGAUCCUGUGAAGCUAGCAGGUGGUACAGCCUGUGAAGAAGUUCAUAGAGACACUCAGCACUUCUAAACCCACCAGUCUGAGAAGACAAAGACCCCAUCACACUCUCUCAAACACGUUCUCAGACACGCUCUUUGACAACAUGGCUGCCACAUCUCUCCUGCUCCUGUUCAUCACUCUCCUGCCUGCUCCAGGGCUCACAGCUUGUUAAAACUACCCUGAAGAGUGAAGCUGUGCAGCAGAUCCCUCUAAGAAAGACCAGGACAUCAAGGCCAAAUCCUUCUGUACGGUGAAUGCCACCAAAAUAGGGGGCUCUGCAAACCCACACCUUCGGGAGGUGAAUGUCACUGAUGUAGACAGAAGUUCCUGCCAGAGACCUUAGACAGGGUUGUGGUGCCAGUUUUCCCCUAUGAUAUGUGCCAGGUGGUACACCUGCUGAUUACAAAGGUGUUUGCAAGGGAGAUUCAGGAGGUCUUCUGGUGUGUAAGGGGACAGCAGUAGGAGUUGUGUCAUUCAACCAGCAAGGAAACUGCAAUGAGCCACAGAAGCCCAACGUCUACACCAAAAUAUCCAAGUAUCUUUCCUGGAUCAUUAAGUAGGAAUGAAACAACCUAAGUUUUAUUUCCAAAACACUUGUGUGUAAAAAAUGUUCUCAGAUUUUUAAUUCAUAGAUUUCAGAUGUGCAUGAAAGUUUUGUUGCAAAUAUAUAUAUAGCUGGAAUGGAAUGUUUAUCCUGUAUGUUUGACUGUGAUGUGUGGUUGUUUCAGCUAGCUAUUUUAAGAUGAAUUAACUUGCUAUUAUCCAGAGCGACUUACAGUAUCUGCUUAAUGACUAAAAUGUCACAUGUAAAUGUUUUACAUACAGAUCUCAUAUUACUGUAGUGAAUUAUUUAUAUAUAUAUAUAUAUAAUACAGACCAUGUAUGUUGCCACAAAUCUAAUGUUUGUAUAUUUCUUUAAUUGUUUUUAUUUCUUACAUUUGACUGCGUAAAACCUAGCAGUACUACUUAUUUCUGAGAGAGGCAGAUGUAUAGCAUUUAAAUCAAAGUUUAUUUGUCACGUGCGCCGACUACAACA
This is a long non-coding RNA of Oncorhynchus nerka (sockeye salmon), 1090 nucleotides long. RefSeq lists it as uncharacterized. The record is from RefSeq and is a predicted model, not a curated record. The transcript is spliced from 3 exons. Lineage: Eukaryota; Metazoa; Chordata; Actinopteri; Salmoniformes; Salmonidae.